UGGGGAAUAUUGGGCAAUGGGGGGAACCCUGACCCAGCAACGCCGCGUGAAGGAAGAAGGUUUUCGGAUUGUAAACUUCUGUCCUUGGUGAAGAGGAAGAGACGGUAGCCAAGGAGGAAGCCCCGGCUAACUACGUGCCAGCAGCCGCGGUAAAACGUAGGGGGCGAGCGUUGUCCGGAAUUACUGGGCGUAAAGGGCGCGUAGGCGGUGAGGUAAGUCUCGAGGUGAAAACUUUCGGCUCAACCGGAAGCGUGCCUGAGAAACUGCCUGACUUGAGUGCAGGAGAGGGGAGUGGAAUUCCCAGUGUAGCGGUGAAAUGCGUAGAUAUUGGGAGGAACACCAGUGGCGAAGGCGGCUCUCUGGCCUGUAACUGACGCUGAGGCGCGAAAGCGUGGGGAGCGAACGGG
RNAcentral lists this ribosomal RNA (407 nucleotides) under uncultured prokaryote. RNAcentral's name for it is "bacterial SSU rRNA". It matches the Rfam family "Bacterial small subunit ribosomal RNA", at positions 355 to 776 of the family's 1533-position model. The record is from RNAcentral.